Molecule: ribosomal RNA, 497 nt
Filed under: uncultured bacterium
Lineage: Bacteria
Description: partial 16S ribosomal RNA
Rfam family: Bacterial small subunit ribosomal RNA
Source: RNAcentral
GAUGAACGCUGGCGGCGUGCCUAAUACAUGCAAGUCGAGCGAACAGACGAGGAGCUUGCUCCUCUGAUGUUAGCGGCGGACGGGUGAGUAACACGUGGAUAACCUACCUAUAAGACUGGGAUAACUUCGGGAAACCGGAGCUAAUACCGGAUAACAUGUUGAACCGCAUGGUUCAACAGUGAAAGACGGUCUUGCUGUCACUUAUAGAUGGAUCCGCGCCGCAUUAGCUAGUUGGUAAGGUAACGGCUUACCAAGGCAACGAUGCGUAGCCGACCUGAGAGGGUGAUCGGCCACACUGGAACUGAGACACGGUCCAGACUCCUACGGGAGGCAGCAGUAGGGAAUCAUCCGCAAUGGGCGAAAGCCUGACGGAGCAACGCCGCGUGAGUGAAGAAGGUCUUCGGAUCGUAAAACUCUGUUAUUAGGGAAGAACAAAUGUGUAAGUAACUAUGCACGUCUUGACGGUACCUAAUCAGAAAGCCACGGCUAACUACGUG